Long non-coding RNA from Leopardus geoffroyi (Geoffroy's cat), 12967 nucleotides. RefSeq lists it as uncharacterized. The record is from RefSeq and is a predicted model, not a curated record. NCBI's taxonomy places the organism in Eukaryota, Metazoa, Chordata, Mammalia, Carnivora, Felidae. The transcript has 23 exons.
CGGCGCGCGCUUCCCCCUCCCCCGCGGCCCGAGCGCGAGCCGCCGUGACGUCACGGGCCGCCCGCCAGCCCCGCGCUCCAGCGGGCAGAGCGCGUGCGGCCGCCGAGCACAUGGGCCCGCGGGCCGGGCGGGCUCGGGGCGGCCUGGACCCGGACGGGCGGCGAGGGGCCGCGCGCGGGGACGGGCCCCGGCACCCCCCGGGCCCCCCGAGCGGAUUUCCACGCCGAGAGGAUGUUGGCAGCGCCGGCGACCUGCCGAGACGCGGCGGGAUCCACCUUCCACCCUGAUCUUUGGACCAGAAAGGAAUUAAAAAGAUGCCCCUCACGAUGGCCGUGCCUGUCUGUUACAUGGAGCUCCAUUCAAGGAUUUUCGGAGCCUUUUGGAUUUACAGUGAUAUUCAGCUGCCUGGGGAAUAAAGUUGGUGGAAGCUUUCUCUGGAGUUACAUACACCCGACACCUGUCUGGAUGCUACUGGCGGUUUUAAGGAAGGCCCUGGCUGAGUGCCUGGCGGAUCCCUGCAGCCUGGAUGCCCGUGGGAGACGGAGGACCGCGGCUUCCUGUGAGGGCUGAUGACUUUGUCCUUCUCUCCUCACGGAUGCCUGGUUGGGUCUCUGCCAGCCCCGCCGGGGGCUCCCUGUGACAUAAUCCUGUCCUACCUGAGAUUUUGGUGCCUUCAAUCUGAAAAAAAAAUACGCAUCCCUCUGGUACUCUAGAGGAACUUGAGAACAGUCCUUCCCUGAACUAAAGCCAGACCAUUGUGGGAUUUGGAGAAUAAAGGUCAGGCUAUGAUUUUGGCAGAGUCCCGAGCUCCUGUGGAGAUUUGCCUCUCGCCAGCCUUGGGCUAUCUGCAUUCUUAAACAUCUCAGGGCCCAGAAGAAUUUGACCAGCUCUGGGAAUGGCCUGAAUGAAGAGAGGUCCUUCUCCUCUUCCCACAUAAAUGGACUGCAGGGAAAAAGAAACUUCCUGGCCUGCCUGAUACCAGCUCUAAGGAGAAAAUACUAAAAUUGGACCUGGGAGUUGGUCCCCAGCUGGAAUUGGGACUGAGUGAGCCCUCCCCAGGCCAACAGCUGGCACCUUCAACUGCAGGAGCAGUUCCCUGGGCCGGGCCUUGAGAAGUGGCAGUGGCAGUGGGUCCUGGUAGAAUGCGGACAGUCCUCGGCCCCGUCCCAGGCCUGUUCAACUAGUUGCUCUGGGGGGACCUGCACAGGGACCACACUGUGCUGCUUCUGUCCGUGGCUGCUUUCCCAGCUGCCUUCGCUGGUGCCACCUUCGGUCUCUGAUGAAGUCCCAUUCCUUUUUCGCCCCCCCCAAAACAACCACAUCUUCUGCUCCCCCAGUCGGGACCUCAGAGGGGUCCACGCACAGGCCUGGUCUCGUAUUCGGACCUUCGGUUUUAUUUCACUUUCCCACAUCACUGAGAAAGACCUAGUAUCCUUGGCUCACCUUUUGCAGGCUGAGCUGAGGUCAGGCUUAGCUCUGGGUGGCCCGACCACCUGGGCCUCUCUCCCUCCCUUUCAUAAUGAGCUGAUUUCCCCCAGGGUACAGCUUCUGGACAGGGUGACCCCACCACUUUGUUCCCUGAGCCUUCCCACUAGGAGGGAAGAAACCCAGCUAUCAUUUAUUGAUCAUCUAUGCUAUGCACAUGUAUCGCUCUAAUUAUUACCCUGCAGGGAAGAUAUUAUUAUCCUGAAGCUAAGAGAUAAUCAGCAAUUUACCAAAGGCACCAGCAUUUAAACCCUUGUCCACCUAACUGGAAAGCCUUUUUUUUCUCUUCACCAUACUGGAGGUGAGAUAUGAAGGAUUUCUUUUCAAGGCCGUAGGUCCUAAAUACUUCUCUUUGUAUGUGCACAAAAUCUUGCAGAGAAAAUUUUUCUUCCCCCAAUUUAAAAUGUGCCGACUGUCCUUGGGGUUACAAACAUGUCCCAGAAAGUCAGGAGCUGGCCGAGUUGGAAGGCACAUAUGACGUGAGCCGGGCCAGGGUGCGGUGACGGGGAAUCCCGCUGCUACUCACUGCCCUCCUCUGUCGAGACUUUCAGUUUGUAAACAUGUUUUCUUCCCCGCACUUUGGCAUCCGUCAUGACUUAAAUCCCAGGUUGUCAGCCCUUGUAGAAAGGAGUUCAGAUCUUGGCAUUAAACGGUGCCCACUGUGUGUGCAGGGCUUUGCCACCGCAGAAGGCUUCCUGAACCUCCACUGAUCCACACAGCUGCCCGGAAAGGAUGUCGGCCUCGCCGACGAGAAAGAUAAAGGCCAGAGUCUUUGCAUGCGAUCAGCCUGAACACCAGCCUGCUCAUGGCUACCAGGACCUUCCUCUGUCCAGUAGCUCGUUAGCUGAGAGGCCGCGAAGCAAAUUGAGGCCGCAUUCAGGUUAUGGGAAAAGACCUCUCCUCCCUCCCAUGAUCUGGCAGUCCCUCUGCAAAUACUGCGGGACAUCUGAGCCCUGAGUGCACCGAUGUGUUUACCUGACCGGCCUCCCCACGACACCGUCUGCCUCAUCUGCCCCCAUUCUUCAGCACGUAUCCCAGUCCCUGUCCUGUGGCAGACGCUCCCUAAGGAGGCGCUGGAUGAAGGGACGUGUCGCAUGUCCCGUUACCGACGAGCCGCGCGGGGAGCACCGAACUCCUGCCGGGCCCCCGGCUGGACUUUGUUUCUUCUUACAAAGCACCGCGUGUCUAUUCCAGAAACAUCUCCAAAUCCACACACGCAAAAGGAAGAAGCUAAAAAGGCUGCUGUUAUCAUUCAGAGGUGAGAGAACUGCUACUCGGGGAUGUUAAGUAACCCAGCAGAGGUCACACAGCUAAGUGACACAGAGGAGCGUCCCAAGUGGUGAAGACCAUUUUCCAUCACUGCUGUCCUCCACGAGCCUGUGUCUGGAAUGGGACCUGUCUUUGCGCUCAUGAACACGUUGGAUGGGUAAGAUACCUGGAGGUGUAGCAGCCAUCUUGCAAGCAUGAGGAGACAAGUCAACAGAAUGAAAUGCCAGAGCAGAUAAGACAGAAAAAGCCUGGAUCUUUGGUAGCACGGUUGAGCUGUUCCACCAGCCCAAGACAGGAGUCUACAUCCAGACUUUCUGUUAUUGAAACAAUGGCCGCUUCUUUACGUCACUCCAAGUUGUCUUUGAUUUGCAGCGGAAAACGUUUCAAAUGGAUACACAGACUUCCGCCAAAGCACAGCCAGUGUCGGGCUGUGUUGGGCUAGUACGGUGGUUAAGAGCCCAAAUUCCAGAGCCAGAAGUCCCAGGUUCCAAUCUCAGCUCCACCGUUACUAGGUAUAGGGCCUGGGCAAGUCAUUUAGCUCUUCUGUGACUCACUGGCCUCGUCUGCAAAAUGCUCAGCAAAGGUGUGGACCCGAGGCUCCACAUUUUACCCAUGAGACAACACUGAGCAGAGUUAAUCCGAAAUCACGCAGCUCCAGCUAGAAGUGGGGGAGCUGAGAUCUGACUCCACGUAAUCCCAGGCUCUGAGACCCUCGUUGCCACUGCACCAUGUCCAGCUGCCUGCCGACAGCGUGGAGACCUUGGGUGCGGCUCCUGGAAUCAGGUUGCCUGGGUUCCUAUCCCAGCUCAACUGUCGAAUGGCAUGAUGAUCCAAGGUGCCCAUCUCUGAUGGCUAAAAUGCGGCUCGGCUCAAAGGACCCCUCCCUGAGCUUCACCCGCUGGCCCCGCAUCUGGAACAAUUCAAAUCCUCGUGGCCCCUGCUCUGAACGUCGAGGCCACCCUGUCCGCCGGUGACCACGGAUUUCAUUUCCCCCCGAUUGCAGGCGUGUGGGCAGUUACAAGUUGAAAACCAGCAGCCGGCUUCAAAUACAUUUUCUUCAUGCCCUCUCUGAAGUACUUCGUUUUUCCUUUGACACCUUAAUUCUGCCACGCUAUUCCAGCAUGCUGAGAAUACACUUCUCAAUGCCCUGCGGCUCUCACGGACAGAAUAACAGGCUUCCAGGUCCCUACGCCCCAAGGAAGAGACUGACCAGGAACCCAUGAAGGCUGGGUUCAAUGAGACAAGUACAUCCUUGCAACUAAAGGUGCAGGAAGUCAGCCAGGACUUCCAGGCGUGGAGCCUGGUCACUUCUGUCUUGUUCAUGGCUUAGAACAGUGCCUGGAACAUGGUAAAUGGUUCAUAAAUGUUGGGGAGGAUAAACAGUCCCCUCUUGUGAAUGUCACACUGCCUGCUGUCCUCAGAGGCUCUGGCUUCCUGUGUCUCUUAGACCGAUGCCAUGAUGCCAACAGGAGGACACUUUCUGGCUUCCCUGGCUGCCUGCCAAGAUGCACUCAAGCCGUGAUGUACAGUCAACGGGGCACUUUUCGCCUCUGGUUUUCCAGAGUGGAGAGCACAUCAUUGCCAGGAAGUUUCUGCCUCACUCUUAGUUCCCCAGGGUGGCCUGCCAGUCACCGGUGUGGUACCUCAGACAAUGGAGAUGCAGGGGCCGUGAUUCCCUGCCUGUAUGUCAAGGUCUUCGACACCCACUUGCGCAUGAGCUGGAAGAGGCGUGCCCGUCUCAGAGCGUGAAGAGCUGGUGAAGUCCCCACGGUUUCUCUCUGUCUCCUGGAUCCACUUUCCCCUCUUCACAGUGGCUUCUUUGUGACCCCCAAGGGGCCAUCUCCUGCCCCUCCAGCUCAUCUCCAGCUCGUGGCUUUGCCGACUCCUCACCUACCUGUGCUGUUUUCUGUACUGCAUAGAACUGGGUCCUCCAGGAAGACAUAUUGGAGUCCUGACCCACAGCAACUGUGAGUGUGACCUUAUUUGGAAAUAGGGUCUGUGCGGACAUAAUCCAGUUUAGAUGAAGUCAUUCUGGAUCAAGAUGGCCUCCAAUCCAGUCAUGGUGUCUUUGUAAGAGAGAUGGACAGAUGGGGAGAAGGCCGGGUGAAGGCAGGGGCAGACAUGGGUGGGGACGCUUCUGCAAGCCAUGGGUGUGUAAGGUUGCUGGCCCACCACAAAGCCUAGAGGAGGCCAGAAAGGACCUUGCCUUUCAGGUGUCAGAGGGAGCAUGGCCCCAUGGACACCUCGAUUCAAGACCUUCAUCCUCCGGAACUGCAACAGAAUAAAGUUCUAUGGUUUUAAGCCUCCCAGUCUGUGGAGCUUUGGCCACCCCAGGAGACCCACACACUCCCCUCCACCCUUCAGUCUCCUCCUCAGUGUCACCUCUUUGUUGAGUUACCCACCCGGGGCACAUUUUACCAUUCUUCCACCAGGCGCUUAUUACCAUGUGUGAUUCUGUUUUGCAAGUUUCCCCUGGUGCUCGUAAGCCCUCUGCCGUGUCCAUGUUGCUCACCGCGUGUCCUCAGUCUCUAACACAGCAUCUGCACGCACUGGGUGGGCAAUAAAGUAUUUGUAGGACGCAUGCAUUGCAGUCCAGGGGAAUCUUCCGGACUUACAGAAUUAGUUCGUGUCAUAGAAUCUCCAGUCAGAACAUGACCCUGGGUACUUCCCCUAGAAAUCCUCAAAGUGCAAUUAUUCAAAUCGAGUUGUUCAACCCAAGUCAGUUGCAGUAAAACAAGAGAGACUUGAGAGUCGACCCUGAGGGGCUGAUUCUCUGCGGCUCUUUUGGAGCAGAUGUGACCGGGAAAUCAAUACAGCCAUUAGAUUAAUCUGCGGCAACCAUAAUGUCAUUGCAUCUUUCGCCCUGUGAUGUUGACACAGAUGUCAGAGCUAGGAGGAGGGGAGGCGCUUCAAAGAAGGAACGGGGCCUCCGAAGUGAAGGGGAGACUUGAAACCCCACGGAGCCUCACUUAAUGGACGAAGGAUUGAGGGUGGCUGCCUCUGGCAUCAUCGGGUCUUCUGUCAGAGAAUGCAGUGACUUGGCGACAGGCAGAGCAGGGGGACCUGUAAAGCUCGGACAUCGGGAGGCCUCUCGGGAGGAUGAACUCGGCAGCAAUGGAGCGGUAGCCUGGUCUGGACUCUCUUUUCUUAUUUCCAGAUUCUCAGCCUCUCCCGAGGCGGGGCGGGGGUGGGAAGACCCCAUGGGAUUUCCUUCUUCCAUUGCAUCUGGCCUUUUAAAAUUAUUAUUCUCAUUAUUAUUAAUAUUUCCUGACACAAGGAGAGAGGGCGUCCUUUAUAAGCACAGCGCUGGGCUCUUGGAAAGCAUUCAAGAUAUGUUUGGAUGGUGAAGCUGCUCCCGUCCAUAGCGCACAUUGGUACAGAACGCCUGCUAGUUCGGGCACUGCUCCAGGUGCAGACGAGGGGGUGUGGGGGGGGGCGGGAUUUCUGCAGUGAACAAAAUAGACAAGCCCCCUGCCUUCAGGGAGCUCACAUUCUAGUGGAGACCAAAAUCAAGCUAAGCCAUUAGCUUGAGUUUUCUCUCCCGCAGACUUGGCCAACUGCCCCCCCCCCCCCCCAAUCUCUUCUCUUCUUCCUUUGUGGAGCAGUGGUUCUUAUCCAGGGGCACUUUUGCCACACACACACACCCCCCCCCCCCCCCGCCCCACUCAAGAUAUUUGGCGAUGCCUGGAGACGGUGUUUGGCUGUCAUGACCUGUGUGUGUACGCAUGUGUAACUAGCAUCUUGGCCCGUAGAAGCCAGGGAUGCUACCCAACAUCCUGCUGUGCUCAAGACACCCCCCACAAUGAAGACUUUUCCAGCCUGCGGUAGCAGCCAACAGUGCUGAGACCCAGGAAGUCGGGUGGAGACAGAAGUGGCUGAGCAGCCGGUGACUACAUUUCCUAGCAUCCCUUGGGGCUAGGUGUGGCCAUGUGACUGGUUCUCACCAAUGGAGUGGGGACAGGCGUGCUGUGCCCACGCCCAGGUGCAAGGCUCUUAGUGAGUAGAUGGGCCUCUUCCCCGCCCCGCCCCGCCCCCCCCCUCACCCCCCAGGCUGGAUGAAGAGAACAGCAAGGUUAUUUGGUCUGGUGUUCUGUUUAUUCGUCAUAGACACUUGUUUCUACAGAACAACUCAGAGGAUAAACAGAGGCACACGGCUGUAAUUGCCACCACAAUCUGCUGCUGAGGAGACAUGCGACCCGAGGAUAAGGGGCUGGGAGCUGGAUGGGGUGUGUUGGGUCCCGGGAUAACUGGAGGCCCCUGUGAUGAACCACGUAAGGAUCCUAUCAGUCACGAUCUGACCCCCGGGCCUGAUGGUGACAGUGGAGCCACGCGGGGACCUAAAUCGCCAUGUGAGGAGAGCUGUCUGCCAGUCAGAGACACUCAGCUCGGACUUUCAUGAGACAAGAUAAAGAAGCAAAUGUUCAAGGAGGCUAGCAGGCCAGAGAACUCUCAUGUGCAAAGGAGAAAUGCAGCAUUUGUAAGAGCGCAAAACUGCUAAGCCAAGUGUACGUCCACAGGAGAAUGGACAAAAUGAACUCCUACAAAGAGCGUAAACGAACUACAAAUAAGUGGAUUCGAGCGGCCUGUGCUACGUAUAAAUGAAUCUCAGAAACAGUCUUAAGCAUCAAAGCCGUCUCAAAAAGGUAGAUAUCGGAUGAUGUCACAAAUAAUGUCACAUAUUGUGCCAGUCAGGGUCCCAGUAGGAAACGAAAGGUGAACUUGGAACUCUGGAAAGAAGGAAAGGAAGGCACCUUUUCCAGGGGUGGUAGGUGUGGCGGACCGUUUCAUGGCCACAGAUUCCCACAUCGCUCCUUCCGUCCCGCGGUGGAAUCUGUUUUUCCAUCCCCAUUCAUCUGGGCUGGUUUUGUGACUUGUCUUGACGAGAGACUGUGACAAAAGUGACUUUAGGUAGGUUACACAGGGCCUGAAGUUUUCUCCCUUCACACCUUUUUAAAAAAUGUUUUAUUUAUUUUUUGAGAGAGAGAGAGAAAGCAGGGGAGGGGGAGAGAGAGGGAGACAGAGCAUCAGAAGCAGGCUCUGUGCUGUCGGCGUGGAGCCUGACGCGGGGCUCAAACCCACGAACCUCGAGACCCCGACUUGAGCCGAUGUCGGAUGCUUCGCCGACUGAGCCACCCUGGUGCCCCUCCGUUCACACUUUUGAAAUGUGCUGACAUUAUACAAAGGGGCCUGCACCAACCUGCCAGAGGCCUUGUGGACAGAAAGACCCAACCGCCAGCCAGCGCUGACCGCCAGAUGCGUGAGUGAGGCUGCCUGGGGCCCAGCCAGCCCCUAGCUGACCACAAGCGGGCUACCGAUGUACGAGGAGGGCAGCCAGAACCACUCCGAGCCGAGCUUCCUAGCUGAGUCCAGCUCAGAUCACCAACCCACAGGGUUAGGAACAAAACACUGGUUAAUAUUUUCAACUAUCAAGUUUUGGCGUGUUUCGUUGGGAGUAUAUAAUCGACUUAGAAGGGUCAAGGAACCCGGAAGAGGAGCUCGGGCGUUGAAGUACAGUGGCAAGGUGAUACUACUUGCUAGGCUCUGUGCUACGUACUGUACGUCGUGUGGGCACAAAAGAGGAAGUGACCAGUUGUCUGUAGACCUGCAGCAGGGCCAGGCUUUCAGCAUGAGGAACUCAGCGGGUCUGAAUGAAUCAUCAUGAGGAAGCAUGACUUGUUGAGGCUUCCCAAGACAUGGAAAGGAAUCUGGCCGACCUCUGUGUUGAAGCUUUACGAGACAGGUGUGAGCGGUAAGAGACCUACCGUAUAUUUUCUCUCCGACUCUUUGUUUCCUGGUAAUGGUGCACCUUCUCCACAUACACGAAGCUAGUCUGUGGUGAGAAAAAUCAGCAUUUGGAAGACCGGAACUUUGCUUGUCUCCUGAGAAGAACCUUACUUUUAUGUUGGGUGUGAAACCAGGAGCAUGUGCUGUGGCAGCAUGGAGAAGAGGGAUGUCAGGCUUCACUAGACCUGUCCACCCACAAAGCCAUUGUCACUUCAGGCAAGCCUCCUCACCAUUCCAAACCUCCUGCUCUCUAACACGAGCAUUUAAAUACCCACCCACGGCAUUUAGAUGGUUAUUACAAGUAAAAGAUGAAAUGAUUUCAUUGUAAUUAUUAUUAUGGUUACUUACUAUGGUCUCAGAGGGGAGUUCUUUAAGAUGCUGGAACUCUCUUGGGUCCAGGAGCAUGAGAACGAUUGUUCUUCUAUGACCAGUUCUUUCCAACUCUCCACAUAAAUCCAAACCAAAUGCAAAAGGAUAUAUUUAAAAACAUUUCUUACUUGACCACCGGGAGCUCUGAAUGGACUAGUGUAGAAGUUUGGGUCCUCUGAGAAGUACACACUAAGACAGGGUUAGAUGCCCAAGAGGGUCAUUGGAGGAAACACCUGUGAAGAGAAAGAGGGAGGAAGUAGGGGGAGGCAGGGAGAGACUUUAGACCCUGAUGUAGGUCUCACACCUGUGGAAGGAGAGGAGGAAGGAAGGAGACCAGGCAGAAAGAGUCUGAAACUGAAGUACAUUUCUAAGAUCCAGUGUUUGGACAGAGACCAAAUUGCCUAUGAGAGCAGUUCCGUGCCCCAGAGAAAUGAGCCUGGGCUUAUACCCUCGUCAUGCUUAGUCAUUGGCAGGGAGCAGCCUGUGGGAGGUGUGACCUUGGCAUGAACACAGUGGCGGAGCCAGCACUGGGACAUUCAGUCAACUAUGUUUCCCAUCUCAGGAGACGUGAGCAGUACAUUUUCAUGGCUACCCAGCAAACUGUGAGACAUUUCCUCCUUGAGAACACAUCGUAAGGAGUUUGAAAAACAAACCAGAACAUUUGUGAUAGUAUAGAUUUUGCACCCCAAAUCAAUGUUCCAUUCCCUUCUUUGACUUUCACUUCCCCCUCUGUUUCAGCUAGACCAAUCAUGUUGAAAACCCCACCCAGGUUUGUAGAGUUCCUCAUUUGACAAUUAAAAAAAAAUUUAUGUGACUGAGUCACAUGCACUUCCUUUGUUUUAUCUUUUCAAUGAGUUGUUUUCAUUUCUUGGGUUUUCUUUGAUUUCAUGUUUUUCCUAUCUUUACCUAUCCACCAUCGCCUGUUCUUCAUACUGUAUUGCUGAUGCCUGAUGUGGUAUUUGUGGAAUAAAUGGACCAAUAAUUAGUGAACAGGCUAUAAGAGUCAAACCUUCUUCAUGUCUGUGAGCUCCUUGGUGUCAGGGUCUUUGUCUUAGGGUGAUGACAUAUAAUGGAAAGACCAUAGGUUUUGUUCUAUGAUUAGACACAAAUCAGCUGUGUGAUCUUGGGCAAAUUGCACCACCUAUGUGAGCCCAGGUUUCUUUUUUUGACUAAUCAAGCCAGUAAUAGUAUCUAUCUCAUUGAGAUGUAAAUGACAGAGUGAUAAUAAAUGUAAAGUUCUGGGCACAGUGUCCAGCACAUUGGAGAUGCUGAACAAAUGACAGGUAAUGAACGAAUGGGCCUGAGGAAUGUGUAACACAUAAUGUAAUACAUAAUACAUAACUCAUUAGACUUUGCUCCUUUCCCCGCCCUCCUGAAAGUCCCCUGUCCAAAUCUAGUCCCAAAGGAUCCAGGCAAGAACAGGUAGAUGGAUAAAGGAUUGGAACAUAGCAGCAAACAGGCCAGUGUUGAGCAGUUACUGUGUGUGCAGCUACUGGGCUGAUCACUGUGAGACAAGUGGAGAUGACUGAGGUAUCCUCCACAUCCUCAAAGAGGUGGCAUUUCAACAUGGCAUUAGGUGUUUGAAGGUAUUGAUGGAUGGACACCUGGGGUGCAAGACAGCAUCAUUAUAGGAUGAAUAGGAAUAGUGUUUUGGGAAAUGUUGAGCAGACUGGGAUGUGGGGAAACAGAGGGAAAGACAUAGCUCAAAAGUUAGUUGAGAGGGGAAUCCAACAAGGCAGAGAAGUAGGGGGACCCCAAGUUCCCUCGUCCCUCAAACACAGUAGCGUUGAGGCCAGAGGACUUGGAAUUCCAAGAGUCCGGACUUCAGAGUGACAGAGACGUCUCUAGGAGCCCAUGGGGACAACCUGGUGGGCCAAUAGGUGUGUGAUUGGGAACUGGGAGAGAGAAAACGGGCAUAGGCACCACCCGUAGGAAGGGGAGAGAUUCCCUUCUGCAGACAGAAGGAAGAGAAAGAGAGGUUGUGCAAGUGUAGGACUGUAUUUGGACAAGUGAAAAACCACAGACUGGGGGUCAGGAAAAAAACAAAACGGAGAAAGAGCCAAUCUCUAACUACAGGCUUUCUCCCGACUGGGGCCACAGCUGCCCUGUGUGUGCACCUGUGGAGGAGGGGAGCCAGCCCCGGGCUCAGUACCUAGCUCAGAGGUGCAGUCCACAGUGGGAGAAAGCGAUCCCCUCCCUGGAGUGCUGUGGGAAGAAGCAAGGUGGGGCUUCAGGGAACAACAGCGGGGGCACAGUGGAGGGGGACCCCCUCCCCGCACCUGGGAACUAUGUAUCUACCUGAGAUCGACACUGACCAAUCAGACAGCCCCUCCUCCAGACCAGAGCUGCCACUGGAUCCAAGGCACCCAGCGGGGCUACUUUGAUGAACACAUCAAAGCACACCUGGUGGAGGGUCCAAAACAUCACUACAAGCACGGAGAUAAAGGAACCAGAGUCACAACAGCAGAGAGCACGGAACACACUCUGAAAACCACCUCCUGAGGGGCCGAGCCCUAGGCAGUGCGUGACCCCUCUUUAAUAUAGUAGUGCUCGCAGGUACGGGGCACAUAACAAGCUUUUAAAACACAUAAGGGACAGAAAACUAGCCAAAAUGAUGACACGAAAGAAUUCUCCUCAAAAGAAAUUCCGGGAAGAAACGACAGCUAAAGAAUGGCUCAAAACAGAUGUAAACAAUAUAUCUGAUCAAGAAUUUAGAGUAACCGUCACAGAAAGUUAGUUGGGAUCAAACCCAUGAGGACUCUGAAUGUCCAGCCAAGGAAACUGGACUUGAUUCUGUAGCUACUGGUAUGUCAAUAAAGGCUCUUGGAGAGAUAAGUGGAAUGACCCAGCUAGCAACUGGAAGGACGAAGUGAGAGUGAACACCUGAAAAUGGCACGUCCAAAUAACCCCAAAGCAACAAGGAAUUGGAGACCCAGAGAAGUUACGUAACGUGCUUACAACCACACAGCUAGUCAUUGCAAGACCGGGAUUUGAACCCACGCUUGGACUCUGGAGGCCAAGCCUUCACAGUGACACUCUUUUCAAAUAAUGAUCGUCAAAGAAGCUUACAGGUAGAUACUGCUUCUUUCAUAAGGACGGUCUCGCUUUGUCCAUGCAGCAGCCCUGUGAAAUCGAGGCUACCAUAUUUACUCCACAGGUGUGAAACGGGGGUCAACAAGCUGAAGAAACUGGUCCAAAUUGGCCCUGCGCCGGAAUAGUGGUGUCCGACCGUUGUGCCACUGGGCUGGGGACCGAUUACUGCUCCUGUGAUGUUCCUGGCUCUGCUCUGCUUCUAUUGGCCCCUCCCUCGCGGAGCAUGCCCUCUCCGAGGACCCCAGUUGAGUCCCAGUGUGGUUUUGUUUGUUUCGACAGUUCUCUUUUCUCUCUCAUUCUCUUCAAUACUCUAUGAUGCAUGAAACUCAUUGUUUCUAUAGGCAUCACGCGGUUCUGCAGAACUUAGAGUGAGCUACAGUGGGCUUCUAGCCUGGGGAGGGUCACUGGCAUUUAAGGACAUCAUCGUUGGAAGGAUGGCUCCAGGUGAAUUCAACCUCUGAUGUCAAGGUCACCUCCUACCUGGGUGUUGAGCUCACCUUGAUUCACACUUCCUCAGAAGGAAACACAAGGCUGUCCGUAGAUGGAGUUUGCACGAAGUCAUUGCUCCCUGCAAAUUUUAGAAAGGCACCCUGUUUCCUGUUGUUUGUGGUUUUGAACGCUCUAUCACCUGGCCUUGAUGAACCUGUCUAAACCCUCCAGACUGUAGUCUGUCACUUAUGUCAUUUUUUCUCUGGGCUCUCAUAGCACCCUGUGCUUGAGAUAUCCCUUUGACUAGAACUCCCCUGUGUUAACCUUUGGCUCGGCUACCAUGGUUUCAGCUAAGAUGUGACCUAUCAGACAAAAUCUUCCUUGACUUCCUAAACCGCACAUCUCUCCCAUGUCAUGGAAUCUCUUUGAAAAAAAGACUCUCUGUGGGGGCCCCUGGGCACCUGGGCUCAGUCACUUAAGCGUCCGACUUUGACUCAGGUCAUGAUCUCACGGUUAGUGAGUUCGAGCCCCGCAUCAG